Long non-coding RNA from Perognathus longimembris pacificus (Pacific pocket mouse), 100 nucleotides. RefSeq lists it as uncharacterized. Lineage: Eukaryota; Metazoa; Chordata; Mammalia; Rodentia; Heteromyidae. The transcript is spliced from 3 exons. The record is from RefSeq and is a predicted model, not a curated record.
CACCAGUGGCUCACCCUUGUAAUCCUAGCUACUCGGGAGGCUGAGAUCUGAGGACCACCAUUGGAAGCCAGCUGAGACAAGAAAGUCUGGUGAAACUCUC